CGCGUAGGCGGGCUGUCAAGUCUGGGGUGAAAUCCCGCGGCUCAACCGUGGAACUGCCUCAGAUACUGACGGCCUCGAGGGAGGUAGGGGCGAGCGGAACGGGUGGUGGAGCGGUGAAAUGCGUUGAUAUCACUCGGAACUCCGGUGGCGAAGGCGGCUCGCUGGACCUCUUCUGACGCUGAGGCGCGAAAGCUAGGGGAGCAAACGGGAUUAGAUACCCCGGUAGUCCUAGCCCUAAACGAUGGGUACUGGGUAGUAGACUAGACAUGGGUUUACUGCCGCAGCAAAAGUGCUAAGUACCCCGCCUGGGGAGUAUGGUCGCAAGGCUGAA
RNAcentral lists this ribosomal RNA (331 nucleotides) under uncultured bacterium. Its description in RNAcentral is "bacterial SSU rRNA". It matches the Rfam family "Bacterial small subunit ribosomal RNA", at positions 568 to 898 of the family's 1533-position model. The record is from RNAcentral.